GGUUAAGCGACUAAGCGUACACGGUGGAUGCCCUGGCAGUCAGAGGCGAUGAAGGACGUGCUAAUCUGCGAAAAGCGUCGGUAAGGUGAUAUGAACCGUUAUAACCGGCGAUGUCCGAAUGGGGAAACCCAGUGCAAUUCGUUGCACUAUCGUUAACUGAAUACAUAGGUUAACGAGGCGAACCGGGGGAACUGAAACAUCUAAGUACCCCGAGGAAAAGAAAUCAACCGAGAUUCCCCCAGUAGCGGCGAGCGAACGGGGAGCAGCCCAGAGUCUGAAUCAGCUUGUGUGUUAGUGGAACGGUCUGGAAAGUCCGACGGUACAGGGUGAUAGUCCCGUACACCAAAAUGCACAGGCUGUGAACUCGAAGAGUAGGGCGGGACACGUGGUAUCCUGUCUGAAUAUGGGGGGACCAUCCUCCAAGGCUAAAUACUCCUGACUGACCGAUAGUGAACCAGUACCGUGAGGGAAAGGCGAAAAGAACCCCGGCGAGGGGAGUGAAAAAGAACCUGAAACCGUGUACGUACAAGCAGUGGGAGCACCUUCGGGUGUGACUGCGUACCUUUUGUAUAAUGGGUCAGCGACUUAUAUUCUGUAGCAAGGUUAACCGUAUAGGGGAGCCGCAGGGAAACCGAGUCUUAACUGGGCGUUAAGUUGCAGGGUAUAGACCCGAAACCCGGUGAUCUAGCCAUGGGCAGGUUGAAGGUUGGGUAACACUAACUGGAGGACCGAACCGACUAAUGUUGAAAAAUUAGCGGAUGACUUGUGGCUGGGGGUGAAAGGCCAAUCAAACCGGGAGAUAGCUGGUUCUCCCCGAAAGCUAUUUAGGUAGCGCCUCGUGAAUUCAUCUUCGGGGGUAGAGCACUGUUUCGGCUAGGGGGUCAUCCCGACUUACCAACCCGAUGCAAACUACGAAUACCGAAGAAUGUUAUCACGGGAGACACACGGCGGGUGCUAACGUCCGUCGUGAAGAGGGAAACAACCCAGACCGCCAGCUAAGGUCCCAAAGUCAUGGUUAAGUGGGAAACGAUGUGGGAAGGCACAGACAGCCAGGAUGUUGGCUUAGAAGCAGCCAUCAUUUAAAGAAAGCGUAAUAGCUCACUGGUCGAGUCGGCCUGCGCGGAAGAUGUAACGGGGCUAAACCAUGCACCGAAGCUGCGGCAGCGACACUAUGUGUUGUUGGGUAGGGGAGCGUUCUGUAAGCCUGCGAAGGUGACCUGUGAGGGUUGCUGGAGGUAUCAGAAGUGCGAAUGCUGACAUAAGUAACGAUAAAGCGGGUGAAAAGCCCGCUCGCCGGAAGACCAAGGGUUCCUGUCCAACGUUAAUCGGGGCAGGGUGAGUCGACCCCUAAGGCGAGGCCGAAAGGCGUAGUCGAUGGGAAACAGGUUAAUAUUCCUGUACUUGGUGUUACUGCGAAGGGGGGACGGAGAAGGCUAUGUUAGCCGGGCGACGGUUGUCCCGGUUUAAGCAUGUAGGCUGGUUAUCCAGGCAAAUCCGGAUAAUCAAGGCUGAGGUGUGAUGACGAGGCACUACGGUGCUGAAGUAACAAAUGCCCUGCUUCCAGGAAAAGCCUCUAAGCAUCAGGUAACAUCAAAUCGUACCCCAAACCGACACAGGUGGUCAGGUAGAGAAUACCAAGGCGCUUGAGAGAACUCGGGUGAAGGAACUAGGCAAAAUGGUGCCGUAACUUCGGGAGAAGGCACGCUGGUGUGUAGGUGAAGUCCCUGCGGAUGGAGCUGAGACCAGUCGAAGAUACCAGCUGGCUGCAACUGUUUAUUAAAAACACAGCACUGUGCAAACACGAAAGUGGACGUAUACGGUGUGACGCCUGCCCGGUGCCGGAAGGUUAAUUGAUGGGGUUAUCCGUAAGGAGAAGCUCUUGAUCGAAGCCCCGGUAAACGGCGGCCGUAACUAUAACGGUCCUAAGGUAGCGAAAUUCCUUGUCGGGUAAGUUCCGACCUGCACGAAUGGCGUAAUGAUGGCCAGGCUGUCUCCACCCGAGACUCAGUGAAAUUGAACUCGCUGUGAAGAUGCAGUGUACCCGCGGCAAGACGGAAAGACCCCGUGAACCUUUACUAUAGCUUGACACUGAACAUUGAGCCUUGAUGUGUAGGAUAGGUGGGAGGCUUUGAAGCGUGGACGCCAGUCUGCGUGGAGCCAACCUUGAAAUACCACCCUUUAAUGUUUGAUGUUCUAACGUUGGCCCCUUACCGGGGUUGCGGACAGUGUCUGGUGGGUAGUUUGACUGGGGCGGUCUCCUCCCAAAGCGUAACGGAGGAGCACGAAGGUUAGCUAAUCCUGGUCGGACAUCAGGAGGUUAGUGCAAUGGCAUAAGCUAGCUUGACUGCGAGCGUGACGGCGCGAGCAGGUGCGAAAGCAGGUCAUAGUGAUCCGGUGGUUCUGAAUGGAAGGGCCAUCGCUCAACGGAUAAAAGGUACUCCGGGGAUAACAGGCUGAUACCGCCCAAGAGUUCAUAUCGACGGCGGUGUUUGGCACCUCGAUGUCGGCUCAUCACAUCCUGGGGCUGAAGUAGGUCCCAAGGGUAUGGCUGUUCGCCAUUUAAAGUGGUACGCGAGCUGGGUUUAGAACGUCGUGAGACAGUUCGGUCCCUAUCUGCCGUGGGCGCUGGAGAAUUGAGGGGGGCUGCUCCUAGUACGAGAGGACCGGAGUGGACGCAUCACUGGUGUUCGGGUUGUCAUGCCAAUGGCACUGCCCGGUAGCUAAAUGCGGAAGAGAUAAGUGCUGAAAGCAUCUAAGCACGAAACUUGCCCCGAGAUGAGUUCUCCCUGAGACUUUAAGUCUCCUGAAGGAACGUU
RNAcentral lists this ribosomal RNA (2816 nucleotides) under Klebsiella pneumoniae. RNAcentral describes it as "partial 23S ribosomal RNA". It matches the Rfam family "Bacterial large subunit ribosomal RNA". Lineage: Bacteria; Pseudomonadati; Pseudomonadota; Gammaproteobacteria; Enterobacterales; Enterobacteriaceae. The record is from RNAcentral.